CCGUUCAAUACUGCGGAGCUCGAGGGCAGAAGAGGGGGGUGGAAUUGCUGGUGUAGUGGUGAAAUGCGUAGAUAUCAGCAGGAACACCUGUGGCGAAAGCGGCCCCCUGGUCUGCUCCUGACACUCAGACGCGAAAGCUAGGGGAGUGAACGGGAUUAGAAACCCCGGUAAUCCUAGCCGUAAACGAUGGAUGCUAGGUGUGGGUGGUAUUGACCCCAUCCGUGCCGAAGCCAACGCGUUAAGCAUCCCGCCUGGGGACUACGGCCGCAAGGUUAAAACUCAAAGGAAUUGACGGGGACCCGCACAAGCAGCGGAGCGUGUGGUUUAAUUCGAUGCUACACGAAGAACCUUACCCAGGUUUGACAUGCAGGUAGUAGUGAAGCGAAAGCGGAACGAUCUUUCGGGAAGCCUGCACAGGUGCUGCAUGGCUGUCGUCAGCUCGUGCCGUGAGGUGUUUGGUUAAGUCCACUAACGAGCGCAACCCCUGUCGUCAGUUACAUGUGUCUGGCGAGACUGCCGGUCUUAAACCGGAGGAAGGUGGGGAUGACGUCAAGUCAGCAUGGCCUUUAUAUCUGGG
RNAcentral lists this ribosomal RNA (577 nucleotides) under uncultured bacterium. RNAcentral describes it as "bacterial SSU rRNA". It matches the Rfam family "Bacterial small subunit ribosomal RNA", at positions 623 to 1212 of the family's 1533-position model. The record is from RNAcentral.